This 64-nucleotide transfer RNA is filed under the name Coelophora saucia. RNAcentral's name for it is "tRNA-Glu". Lineage: Eukaryota; Metazoa; Arthropoda; Insecta; Coleoptera; Coccinellidae. The record is from RNAcentral.
AUUUAUAUAGUUUAUAAAAAACAUUAUAUUUUCAUUAUAAUAAAAGAAUUAAUUCUUAUAAAUA